Non-coding RNA from Nippostrongylus brasiliensis, 72 nucleotides. Lineage: Eukaryota; Metazoa; Nematoda; Chromadorea; Rhabditida; Heligmosomidae. The record is from Rfam.
GCCUCAGUGGCAUAGUGGUUAGUGCACAGCCCCGGAUAGGUUGGGACGCAGGUUCGAAUCCCGCCUGAGAUG